Molecule: long non-coding RNA, 1157 nt
Filed under: Mustela putorius furo (domestic ferret)
Lineage: Eukaryota; Metazoa; Chordata; Mammalia; Carnivora; Mustelidae
Description: lncRNA (ENSMPUG00000028338.1)
Source: RNAcentral
AUGCUCAGAAAGCUGCACUCCAUCUUUAACUCGGGCCCGCAGAGGAAGGCGGGGGUGGCCACGGGUCCCAGCUACGACCCGGCCAGCCCCACCGUGAGGCUGACCCGCAGCAGCUCCAUGUACGUGGUCGGGGACCACGGGGAGAAAUUCAGCGAGUCCUUGAAGACGUCCACAAGCAUCAGCAGCAUGGACAGCAGCCUGUACUGCCUGCAGCAGGAGGGGGACCGGGCGUGGCUGCUGUCGCGCCCCCAGGACUGCCUGCAGUACUUGCAGGAGCUGCUGGCCUUGCGGAAGAAGUACCUCAGCAGCCUGCACGACCUGAAGCCCAGUCGCGCCCCCGGCCUCUCGUCCCCCUCCUCCGCUGCCUCGGAAAGCGCGGAGAGGAGCCCCGGCCGGCCCACCUCCAAAGAAAGAAAGCAGAAAGCAGCCGCAAAGAAGUACUCCCAGUUCAGCGCAGAUGUGGCCGAGGCCAUGGCCUUCUUUGAUUCCAUCAUUGCCGAGCUAGAUACAGAGAAGCGGCCCCGGGCUGCUGAGGCAGAGCCCCCGAAUGAGGACGUGGACUUUGAUGGUGAGCGCUCGCCUGGGGCGGGGCAGGAGGUGGGUGGGGGACAGUCUCUGGAGUGGGCUGGCGGAGGAGCUAUGGGGGAACCCCAACCCUGAGUAAAGGGAAACCCACACUGCACACCAGAGCCCUGCCCAGGGCUUGCUCUUCUCCUGGGGCGGGGGAGGGGGCUUUGCUUUAGCUAUAUCUGCAGCCACCUCCCAGCCUACCCGACACUGUCAUGUAUUUGGACCCAAACUCCUUCCUGUGGUCCACUGGCCAAAGCUGAGACAAAGCACUAAAGAAAGGGGUUAGAGGAGGAGCUGGUGUGACAUGGGUAUGAAGACAGAGUUUCAGUCUUGCAAGGGGAAAAAGUCCUGGAGAGCCGUCCCUGGCCAGUGGGAAUAUAUUUGGCGCUACUGGACUGGUCACUGAAAGAUGGCUCGGAUGGUAAAUUUUAGAUUCUCUGUAUUUUACCACCUUUUUUUUUUUUUUUUUUUUAAGAAGAAAAAGGAGCAGAGAAUCUGUAUUUAAAAAUCUAGCUUCUCGCUCUGCCUGAGCUCCUUUGGCACUCUCUGCGGGACCUGACUGCCCCUUCAUCCGCUUUGCCCCCCCG